AAGACAUUUGUUUAUAGUUACUGCAUAUGAAAUAUUGUCUGGCAAAACAUGGCAACCUUUUAGAAACUUUGGAGCUGAGUUGACGUAAUGAAAAGCCAAAAAGAAACAUUUUCUAAUUUGAAAUUGGUUGGUCUGAACGCAACUAAACACAAACAUUUUGACAUUUGACAUUUUGUCGAAUAGAAGAGCUCAUGGUUUUUAAUGAUAAUUACAAUGACAUAAAAAAGUCCCACAAAUGAUAUGAUUUCACACACUAUUUAUUAGAGGGUCUAGGGAAUAUUAGUCAUCCUACUUUACAUACACUUUCACCAACCCAAUUAUAUAGGAGGGACAGCAAAAUUCCCCAUUCAUGCUUGGAAGCUAGCAGUAUGUUUAUAUUAAACCUUACACUUAAUGUGCAGAUAACUCUUUGUUUUCCUUUUAAAUCCGUGACUACCAAAAAAACAAUUAUAAUUAGAUCAGUAGCUGAGAUAGAUUUUACUAAGAAGGAUAAAAUAAUGUGUUCUGC
Long non-coding RNA from Gasterosteus aculeatus aculeatus (three-spined stickleback), 508 nucleotides. NCBI's taxonomy places the organism in Eukaryota, Metazoa, Chordata, Actinopteri, Perciformes, Gasterosteidae. The record is from Ensembl.